This 462-nucleotide ribosomal RNA is filed under the name uncultured bacterium. RNAcentral's name for it is "partial 16S ribosomal RNA". It matches the Rfam family "Bacterial small subunit ribosomal RNA", at positions 28 to 507 of the family's 1533-position model. The record is from RNAcentral.
GACGAACGCUGGCGGUGUGCUUAACACAUGCAAGUCGAACGGAAAGGCCCUUCGGGGUACUCGAGUGGCGAACGGGUGAGUAACACGUGGGUGAUCUGCCCUGCACUUUGGGAUAAGCCUGGGAAACUGGGUCUAAUACCGAAUAUGAUCAUCGGCUUCAUGGUCGGUGGUGGAAAGCUUUUGUGGUGUGGGAUGGGCGCGGGGCGUAUCAGCUUGUUGGGGGGGUAAUGGCAUACCAAGGCGACGACGGGUAGCCGGCCUGAGAGGGUGAACGGCCACACGGGUACUGAGAGACGGCCCAGACGCCAACGGGAGGCAGCAGUGGGGAAUAUGGCACAAUGGGCGCAAGCCUGAUGCAGCGACGCCGCGUGAGGGAUGACGGCCUUCGGGUUGUAAACCGCUUUCAGCACAGACGAAGCGCAAGUGACGGUAUGUGCAGAAGAAGGACCGGCCAACUACGUG